ACUCCUACGGGAGGCAGCAGUAGGGAAUCUUCCACAAUGGGCGCAAGCCUGAUGGAGCAACACCGCGUGAGUGAAGAAGGGUUUCGGCUCGUAAAGCUCUGUUGUUAAAGAAGAACACGUAUGAGAGUAACUGUUCAUACGUUGACGGUAUUUAACCAGAAAGUCACGGCUAACUACGUGCCAGCAGCCGCGGUAAUACGUAGGUGGCAAGCGUUAUCCGGAUUUAUUGGGCGUAAAGAGAGUGCAGGCGGUUUUCUAAGUCUGAUGUGAAAGCCUUCGGCUUAACCGGAGAAGUGCAUCGGAAACUGGAUAACUUGAGUGCAGAAGAGGGUAGUGGAACUCCAUGUGUAGCGUGGAAUGCGUAGAUAUAUGGAAGAACACCAGUGGCGAAGGCGGCUACCUGGUCUGCAACUGACGCUGAGACUCGAAAGCAUGGGUAGCGAACAGGAUUAGAUACCCCUGGUAGGCUAGCG
This 473-nucleotide ribosomal RNA is filed under the name uncultured bacterium. Its description in RNAcentral is "bacterial SSU rRNA". It matches the Rfam family "Bacterial small subunit ribosomal RNA", at positions 335 to 801 of the family's 1533-position model. The record is from RNAcentral.